RNAcentral lists this unclassified non-coding RNA (330 nucleotides) under soil metagenome. RNAcentral's name for it is "partial contains 5.8S ribosomal RNA, internal transcribed spacer 2, and large subunit ribosomal RNA". The stretch from base 1 to 120 matches the Rfam family "5.8S ribosomal RNA", at positions 35 to 154 of the family's 154-position model. The record is from RNAcentral.
GAUGAAGAACGCAGCGAAAUGCGAUAAGUAAUGUGAAUUGCAGAAUUCAGUGAAUCAUCGAAUCUUUGAACGCACAUUGCGCCCCCUGGUAUUCCGGGGGGCAUGCCUGUUCGAGCGUCAUUUCACCACUCAAGCCUCGCUUGGUAUUGGGCAACGCGGUCCGCCGCGUGCCUCAAAUCGACCGGCUGGGUCUUCUGUCCCCUAAGCGUUGUGGAAACUAUUCGCUAAAGGGUGCUCGGGAGGCUACGCCGUAAAACAAACCCAUUUCUAAGGUUGACCUCGGAUCAGGUAGGGAUACCCGCUGAACUUAAGCAUAUCAAUAAGGGAGGA